Molecule: long non-coding RNA, 8888 nt
Filed under: Homo sapiens (human)
Lineage: Eukaryota; Metazoa; Chordata; Mammalia; Primates; Hominidae
Description: HSALNT0168873
Source: RNAcentral
GGAGGAGAGGAAAGGAGGCGAGGGACGUCCAUCUAAUGAUAGAAUAUCAGACCUCACUUGGUCAGCAUCCACAGAGGGCAUGGGUUGGCUUGGGAGACCCACUGUGGGCUUAGCUUUGUGUCAAGGCCAGCCUUUGCACAACAUGUGCCAGGAGACCAGCUGUCUGGACGUCAAAGGAUACUGGCAAACACAAAGCAAUGGGGACAGAGAGAGAGAGCGCAGUUCAGGAAAACCCAACACACGUGAGGAAACAGUACGCUUCUCGGGAGGCAGCACGGGGUAGUGGGGAAGGAAUCUGGGCUUUGGAGAAGCCUUCCUGAGCUUGAUUCCCAACUUUGCUGCUGACUUACAAGCUGUAUGGUCUUGGCCAAGCUACUCAAUCUCUCUGUUACAUAGUUUCCUGACCUACAGUAUACGUAGAUUGGCAAUGGCCACAAAUAUCUUGUAGCUCUUUUCUUUGAGAGGUGGAGCCUAUUUCCCCAACCCUUGAAUCUGGACUGCCUUGUGGCUGAUUUUGCCCAAUAGAAUAAAGCAGGGGUAUUGUAUGAGUCCCAAGUCUAGGCUCUGAUAAAUUUAGAAGCUUCCACUCCUUCUGUUGGAAUUCUGCCACCAUGUGAACAGCCCAGGCUGGCCUACAAGGAUGAGAGGCUAUGCGAGGAAGGGAUGAGUGGUUCCAGCUGAGGGUCCCUAAUACAGUAGCCUGCCAACCACUAGACUUGUGAAGGCACUGUAGGUUGACUUGUGAGGUCAACCAGUCCCCAACAACUCACCAGGAGACGGAAAGCCAGAGGAUCAGAAGGACUGCCCAGCUGACCUACAGAACUAAAGCAUUCCUGAUUGACGUGGGAAUUGAGCAUCUGUGGCCUAGAUCCCAUAUGCUACCUUUUCUUCCUGGGGCAAACGUGAAAUGUUGAACGAGGUAAGACAUUCAGAUAUGAUGCUAAUUACUCUCUAAGGCCCUUUUCCACCUAUCUCUUCUUCAUCCUCACUUAAACUGGCCCACUUCCAGUCCUGAUUCUCUCUCUCCUGGACCAUGCAAUAAUUCCUUAAUGUAUUUCCCCACUUCCUGCCUUCCCAUUCCACACUUUCCCUUUUGCCAGCAUUAGGUCCCAGAGUACCUUCCUAAACAAGUCAUUCUUUUAUCUCCCACUCACCCUAAACCUUCACUGGCUCCCCACUGCCUCCCAAGAAGAGCUAGACUCCUUAGGUUGAAACUCAGGGUAGGACUUUAUAGUGGUUAGGAAGGCAGACUUUGGACCAAAUCCCAGCUCCACCACCUCCCAUACAUCAUUCCUUGGCAAAUUGCUUGACUUUUCUAAAUAUCUGUUUUCCUAUCUGUAAAAUAAAAAUAACAAUGAGAAUGUCUACUUCCUAAUGUGCUGAGAAAUAAGUGAUGCAAUGUAAGGUACAGCACUGUGCCUUACACACAGUAAGAAUUCAGCCAACCUAACUGGUAUUACUAAUCUUCCUGAAUCUAGUUUCAGCCAGCUUUUCACCACUCUGUCUCGUAAGCACAGCCUGCACUCUUUCAAAUAGGCAUCACCCUUUCCUUCCUUUGCUAAUCACCUUACCCUGCCCAUAGCAUGCUCUCCUGCCACUACUCUCUUCAUUACAUAAAAUCCCAGGCAUUGGCUGGGGGUGGUGGCUCACGCCUGUAAUCCCAGCACUUUGGGGGGCCAAGGUGGAUGGAUCAUUUGAGGUCAGGAGUUCGAGACCAGCCUGGCCAACAUAGUGAAACCCUGUCUCUACUAAAAAUACAAAAAUUAGCCAGGCAUGGUGAUGGACAACUGUAAUCCCAGCUACUUGGGAGGCUGAGGCAGGACAAUCACUUGAACCCAGGAGGCAGAGGUUGCAGUGAGCCAAGAUCGUGCCAUUGCACUCCAGUCUGGGAGACAGAGCAAGAUUCUGUCUCAUAAAAAAAAAAUAAAAGAAAAUCCCAGGCAUCCUUCAAAGUCUAGCUCAAAUAUCACCUCCUGCAUGAAGGCUUUUCUGACUGCCAGGGUCAUACAUGAACAGCCCCACCAUUGAAUUCACAUGGCAUUUGUUUAUGGUUUAUGUAUCACUUUUCUGACACUUAGUACAGAAGUCAACUGGCCACAUUUCUCCACCCCAGGCUGACCUCAUCCUUCCAUCCUAGGCUGUCCCAAUCUCUCCACCCCAGACUGGCCCCAUCCCUCCACCACAGGCUGGCCUCAUCCCUCCACCCCAGGUUGGCCCCAUACCUCCAUCCUAUUCUGGCCCAUCCCUUCACCCCAGGCUGGCCCCAUCCCUCCACUCCAGGCUGGCUCCAUCCCUCCAUCCUAGCCUGGCUCCAUCCUUCCACCCCAGGCUGACCCCUUCCCUCCACCCCAGGCUGGCCCCAUCCCUCCACCCCAGGCUGGCCCCAUCCCUCCACCCCAGGCUGGCCCCAUCCCUCCACCCCAGGCUGGCCCAUCCUUCCACUCCAGGCUGGCUCAACCCUCUAUCCUAGGCUGGCCCCAUCCCUCUAUCUAAGGCUACUGCUCCUCUGGAGAAAGUCUCCUUUAAAUGACUCCACCCUUGGGAGUUUCAGCAACUCCUCCCUGCCCUCUGGUCUCUGGAUUGAGAGAUGACAGCUCCUCUGCUUGUAGUAGCUACUGGUUCCUGCACCAUACUUCAUAUUUCCCUACCCUUCACCUUCACCUUUGUUGACAAAACCUCAACAGUAUUAAGGGCCCUGCUGAAAUGCUUGCCUGUGGGCAAAUAAGGUGAAGGAUUUGACUCUUCAUGGACCUGUGCCCAUGUGGAUUCAUGGCUAGAAGAGGGACCCUACCAUGCUCCUGACUCCUGGGAAAAUCCUACCCUGGGUUGGCAGAGUCUCAUAGACACCAGUUGCUGUCUGCCAGAGAACAGCUGGUGGGCCUGCCCCAGCCCUGGUGGGGUGCUGUGCAGGAUCUGGAAGCAGCUAAGGGGAAGGAGUCCCACCCCCUCACCCAGAUGGUUUUGGUCUCUGGGAGGGCUUCAAGGAGGACCUCGCCCUCCAGGGACAGAGGGACAGCUUUUCAGUGGCUGUGAUUAGACUUCGACUCCUCUGCAUUUCCUGCAGGGCUUAGGGCACCUUCUAAGUUCAGAUUUAUCUCUUCUAACCCACACCACUCACUGGCUGAAAAAUGAUUGAACAGUGGUCCACCCAGGCAUGGAUUCCUCUUCAGCCAGAAUGAGUAUGACCCAACAUAGAAGUCUUCUUUGAUAUAAUUUUAAGAGGAGGGAUGUGGAAGUCAGUUACACAACAAUGAUGUAGUUUAAUCGCAUUUUGGUAAAAUACAAACUGUGAAUAUGUUUGUGAAUGCUCCUGGAAGGGCCUAGGAAGGAAAAGCACAAACUGUUAACUCGCCCAGGGAAGACAGGUGGGAAAUAUUCACUUACUACUUAAAGAAAAAAUAUGUUGAUUUUGUAAUUAAAAAAAAAAUCUACAGCUGUCUUUGCUAUUCAGCAGGCCUAGCUUUAGAUCAACGAAUUGCCUGGGGCAAUGGACCAACAGGUGGGUUUGGCUUUUCUUCUGGGCUGCUGUGGUUUCACCAGCUGACCCCUCCUCUUCCAAAAACGUAAAGUGUGAAUUCACCACGUUGCAGGAACCUCGGCUUUCAGUGCGUGUGGACUUAGCUGGGGGCUGAGGGGCUGCACACCCUGGAAAAACAAAGGCAACUGCUGCUCCAGAAGCCCCACUGGGAGAGCCCUGUGGGGCGACUACAUCUUGACCUGCAAAUUUCCUUCCCUCUUUGCCCCUAGUCCCGACCAUUUCCACUAGCAAGGAGUUUGAAGGAUGUAGACUCCUUGAGUCCCCAUCACGCGAAAUAGGUGGUUUGUACUACUUCGAACUUGGAGGUGAUGCGCAAAAAACAAUGACCGAGGUGACGCAAUAAUGCCAGAGCUGGAUGGGGAGCCCAGCACCUGCCAAGCAGCCCCGUGCCCAGCCACCAACCAGGGUGAUUGUGGUCUAGGCUAGGGAGGAAAGCCCAGUGCCUGACUGCUAACCGAGAGCUCAAACCUGGAGUCUUAAUUUUUUCCAGGUCAAAAGGGUGUUUUCAUUGCUUGGCAAUAACUGUGGGGGCAAGGAGGGGUUUCACAGUAUAGCUUUCCAUUUUUCAUUGGAUGUCAUUUCAGAAGAAGGAGAUGGGUCCUGAGACCAGGGGAUUUAGUCAUCAGCAAGUUAAGGAGAGGAUAUUGUGAGAGCUGAGGGAGGGAGAGAGGCAGAGAAUGCUUAAAAGCAGACUGUUUCUCCUUUGCUUUUUUUGACUCCAGUUUCUUUACUCCAGAACCAAACAUAAAAAUGAAACACAUUUGACCUUUCAUUGUUAGGCUCCUCUGGAGAGCUCGCUGUGAGACUUACCAGGUUGAGAGCCCUGUGGAGAGUCUAUGCAAACUCCUGUUAUCCACCUGAGCCUGCAGUUUGACCGCAAAAUGACCAAUUGUGUGAACUCCAAGACCCCACAGUGUGUGGGAAAUACAACAAACUGCAGCCUUCUAGGAGCUUAGUGCAGACUGCCUUCUGCAGUGGAAUUAGCCAGGGGUUCUCGCCAUCAUCUUUCACUUUGUAGCGAUUGACCAGGAGAUGGAUGCUUGAAUCCCACCAGUUCCCCUUCACUGAGGCAGAAGGGGCUUAGAGAGGAGAUACAGAUAAUAUGAAAAAGUAGCAGAAAAAGGCAUGAGAAAUAAAGAGUGGAAAAGGAGAGGAAUUGUGUUAAAAGCAAAGAAAAACAAUUCAAAAACCUGUGAGAAGUGUACAUGCCCAGUUUUCAAAAUAAGGCUGUUUCCAAAGACUGGAAAAUGUACAGUCUUAACAAUCAAGAUUGCAACUCUCAUCCAUCCAAAUAUUUUACAUUUCCCACAUCUGUAUACUAUUUUACUUUGUAGGAUAAAUGGGUCGCUGAAAAGGUAUACAUAUGUCCAUUUUUGAGUGGUAUUUUAGGUGUACUGAAAAAUCUUUUUUAUGACUCCAUCAUGAACAUUUUAGAAACCUCGUGAUUUUGCUUAUAGACCCAUAUGUGGGAUGUUGUUAGACCUUCCCAAAUUAUGUGUGAGAAAUGGGUGAUAAAAUGCUAACAUUUAAAUAACUCUCCAAUAUAUGAUGGUAUAGAAAUUAGGCAUGAAGUUCUCUACUCUCAUUUUGAUGGACCCGUGGAUUUAGGCAUAUGCAGUCUUGGGGAGUAGAGAGCUUGGUGCCAUAUAUUUAAAUGCUGGCAUUACUGAGGUUGGGGGCAGGGGGUCACAGAAGACCCAAAAUGAACAGUUCAUCUCUGGAAUAAGGUGGAGUUGACAAAUCUAGGUUGAAUAGCAUGUUUUCCUUGACAUGAUUUAUCCUUGCUUUGACUCUGGCUAUCCUGAGGUUGUGUAGUUACCCCAUAUGUAUAACUGGCUUGGUUUAUUAAUCCUGUGGCUGAAGACUGUGCAACUGAUUUAGUAUUUAUUGAGCUCCCACAACAUGCCAAACACAGUAUAAACCCCAGCAUGUAGAGCUUCACAUGUGAUUCAGCAACACAUGCAUUUUACACACAUAGCAAAGACAUCAACGCAUGAAGGUAAAUCAAUCAAGAACCUGCCUUGGGAAACAAAGGUGCUCCUGACCUCUCGUCUGUGAGGGACAGGCCCUGUGUUCACUCCCAGAUCUAGCCACACUCUUGAGGUUAGUUUUGUGCCUUGCAUUUGAAAGACUAACAGAUGUUCAGGAAUGCAAACCACAGGACAGAGGUCGUGGGUGAGCCUACCUGAGAAAAUAAACCUGGAACUUAGCUAUCCCAGUAAAACAGCAGAUUGAAAAUUCACAAGGACAAAAAAUCAGACGGUUAUAGGAACUGGAAUAUCCUUACCUUAGCAUCUCUCACAAUUGCUAUUUCCAGGUAGCUGUUGGAGCAUGCAUUGAAACACUCUUCUGCCAGUUUAAUGAGAUAAAUCUAUUGAUUGGCUGCCAAAAGUGUGACCUGGUGACAAAGCUUGCAAAGAGGAUUACAGAACCUCCCAUCAGCCUUGAGAAGGGCUGCUGCCAAGUACCAAGUUGGCUCAGUUCCCAGCCUGACUGCCUGUAUUACUCCUUGCAGGAAGAGGACUGUGUAUACAUCUUAGAUGCUUGAUAUUAACCAAAAUGAAUUAUUAAAUAAAAUUUUCUACCUACAGUCCUACGCAGUUCUCUCUGGGACUCACCUCUGAUUUUUUUGAAAUUCGGUUUGAUUUAUAAACUAGUCCACAACACAUUUCAGAUGUUGUAAGAAUUAAUUGCUGUUCCGUUGCUGAUUUUCAUAAUAUGUAAAGAUGUUUAUAAGCACAAUCUAAUUCUCCAACCUCUUUAAGCUCUUUAUAAAGUCCAUGUAAGUGUUUCAAACUUAAGUUGUAGGCAUGACAGAAACCAGUGGCAGCUUUUCUAGUAAUUAAUGGAGAUGCUUGUUUUUCAUAGUUGAUAUAAACUUAAGCUAAUCAAGGAGCACUUUUUCUAACACCCUGACAACCAGGAUUUAAAAUAAUUCAUGGUAUGUAAAUUUGUUUUUUGUUGUUUUUUGUUGUUUUUGUUUUUUUUGUUUUUUUGAGACUAGAUUUUGCUCUGUCACUGAGACUGGAGUGCAGUGGUGUAAUGAUAGCUCACUGCAGCCCAGUGAUCCUCCCAGGCUCAAGUGAUCCUCCUGCCUUUGUGUCCCAAGUAGCUGGGACCACAGGUGUGCACCACCACGUCCGGCUAUUUUUUGUAGAGAUGGAGUUUUGCCAUAUUUCCCAGGCUGGUCUUGAACUCCUGGGCUCAAGCAAUUCUCCCUCUUCGGUCUCCCAAAGUUUUGGAAUUAUAGAUGUGAGCCAUGGUACCUGGCCAUGGUAUGUAACUUUAUAAUACAAUUGACCUAAGGUUGAAUGAUGAUAUUCCUUCUGAAUUGAUUGGACUGAUACAUAAGAAAUAUGUAAGUAAACUGUUGAACGAAUCCCUAUAUAUUCUGAUUUCAAUAAUUUGCCUCUUUGUGAUUGAGCUGGUAUUGCCUGAAGACUAAAAGAGUAUUCUCUAAGUAUGGCAUGUAACACCGUCAAAUUCAGCUCCAAAUUAUUAACACCUUUGGCAGGUACAACUAAAGCUUCAUUCGGAUGUUUCUGAGAUUCAUUAGAAAGAGGAUUCCCGCCCCCACCCCCCACCCCGAGAUGGAGUCUUGUUCUGUCACCCAGGUUGGAGUACACUGGCACAAUCUCAGCUCACUGCAACCUCUGCCUCCCUGGGUUCAAGCAAUUCUCCUGCCUCAGCCUCCCGAGUAGCUGGGAUUACAGGCGUGCGCCACCACGCCUGGCUAAUUUUUGUAUUUUAAGUAGAGACAGGGUUUCAACACGUUGGCCAGGCUGGUCUCAAACUCCUGACCUUGUGAUCUGCCUGCCUCGGUCCCCCAAAAUGCUGGGAUUACAGGUGUAAGCCACCAUGCCCAGCCCUAGAAAGGAUAAUUCUUAAGGUGCUUAAUCUUGGUUGCACAUUAAAAUCCCCUGAAGUGCUUUGGAAAAUGCUAGUGUCCAGGCACCAUCUCAAAUCAACUAGACUCUUGGGAGGAGAGCCCAGACAUCAAUUACAAAAAGAAAAAAAAGUUCCCCAGGUGAUUCUAGGAGCAGCCAGGGUUGAGAACCAGUGAUUCAAACCUUCCAACAAAGAGCCGACGAUGAAUCAGAUCCCUCCCCAAAUAAUCCCUCUCCUUCCCCUCUACCAUCUACACUCUCCACACAUGACCAUCAAAGGAACUCUCUGAGGAAAUGAGAAAUGUCUGGCCCUGAGCCUCCCAAGUAAUAUAGCUGCUGGAAGCACAGGAGCCAGUCCUCGGGAUGCCUGGGAGAUGAGCUUAUCUGGGGCAGGGGUGGGUUGCACUAUUAGCACACAGGUUCUUUGUUCUCCAAUCCACGGAUGAAGCUCAAGUUCAUUUAGCACCAUUGCCAGAGGUAACCUCCAUACCCAUCUUUGCCUGCCUUUUCCUUUCUCCCAAGCCAGCCUUUCCUACCCUUUACUGUGUGCAAAAAGUCUAGCCCUGUAACUACUAAAGAUUCCUAUGCCAACCAGCCCAACCGUGAUCACUCCCACUCCCACCAUGGUUGUUGACAUGAAUGUAAUAGGAUUGAACCCUUGUCAUUCCCAUAUCAUCCCUCUUUCCUUUCCUUUUAGGGCACAUUUUAAUGAAUGAAUUGAGCUUAUUUCUGAAUAAGAGAAGCAGGAGGAGGUGAAACAGUGAUUCUUGUGUUCAGUGAGCUGGGAAAGUAGUUGAACCCUACAGAUGGUGACUGAGUUACUGGGAACACAGAGGCUGAUCUGACAGCUGGAUAUUAUGUAUCAUUUCCCAAGACUCCUGCCCUCACUGCCCAAGUUGCUUUUCCAACAGUGUGGAGACCUUUGUCCCAAGGCACUUGUCCUCAUUUACAGAACUCACAGGAGGUUAAGGUGAUGAUUAUCAGCCUGGUAUCAUGCUCCACAGUCUUCACCUUUUCCCUUAACCCUGGAGGUAAUUAGUGUUUGAUCUACACAUCAUGUGGGUGGUAGCUUAUUCUUCUGUUCUGUCCUUAAGUAAACUUCUGCCGGUCCUUGAUUUCUGGGUUGAUCAUGUUCCAAGAAUCACUACAGAGCAGGUGCUGAGCAGUCAGAUGACAGCUGUUGAUCUGUUGCAAGUGAGCAAUUAGAGACUGCAGGAGAAUGCCACGCUACACAGUUUACAUUGAGUAUUCAGAAAACCAAAUAUUUGAGUGCCCACUUUGUGGCAAACACUGAAUGUGUACCCACACAUACACACACAUACACAAACACACAUACACAGAGGAUGUCUGUCCUUAGGUACAAUUGAAUGACCUCUUAAGUGAAUUGGACCUUUUCCUCUUUAUUUAUCUAUCUCUUCAUUGACUAAUUCGUCUCAUCAUUUUUAAAUAGUAGUUGGGGAGGA